CUGGAGGCCAGUCUGAGCUUGGGGAUCAUCUGCUCCCUCACGGUCUGCGUGUGGAUGGACACGGAGCAGGGGCAGCCGGGGUAGGGGCCGCUGGUGAGAUGGGACGUCCCACUGGCAGAUUUCAUCAAGGAAUAUAUGGAGAUGAUCGACUGCGUCUCAAUAAGGGAAGUCUCAAUAGACCAUAUCUACGAGCGAGCAGCGAGCAAAGUGCGCCUAGACAAACCGAACUACCGCAGCGUCUUCGGGCACCUGUCCCAUGACUUGCACACGGCAUAGUGUGGGCACUGGAGGAGUCUCCCUUGUUGAGGCUGGUGUCUCUGCAAAAUGCCAACGGUUCAUGGGACCUGGACCCCCAGCUGGCUGUCGUGCUGGGGGUGAGCGAGACCGAUGCCAGGGAGAGGAUACCGAGGGAGGUGAGCC
RNAcentral lists this long non-coding RNA (420 nucleotides) under Chelonoidis abingdonii (Abingdon island giant tortoise). RNAcentral's name for it is "lncRNA (ENSCABG00000008250.1)". The record is from RNAcentral. Lineage: Eukaryota; Metazoa; Chordata; Testudines; Testudinidae.